GGGAAUAUUGCACAAUGGGCGAAAGCCUGAUGCAGCAACGCCGCGUGAAUGAAGAAGGCCUUCGGGUUGUAAAAUUCUGUUAUAAGGGAAGAAAGGUGAUAGGAGGAAAUGACUAUCAAUUGACGGUACCUUAUGAGAAAGCCACGGCUAACUACGUGCCAGCAGCCGCGGUAAUACGUAGGUGGCAAGCGUUAUCCGGAUUUAUUGGGCGUAAAGGGAACGCAGGCGGUCUUUUAAGUCUGAUGUGAAAGCCUUCGGCUUAACCGGAGUAGUGCAUUGGAAACUGGGAGACUUGAGUGCAGAAGAGGAGAGUGGAACUCCAUGUGUAGCGGUGAAAUGCGUAGAUAUAUGGAAGAACACCAGUGGCGAAAGCGGCUCUCUGGUCUGUAACUGACGCUGAGGUUCGAAAGCGUGGGUAGCA
Molecule: ribosomal RNA, 421 nt
Filed under: uncultured bacterium
Lineage: Bacteria
Description: bacterial SSU rRNA
Rfam family: Bacterial small subunit ribosomal RNA
Source: RNAcentral